Molecule: unclassified non-coding RNA, 495 nt
Filed under: uncultured fungus
Lineage: Eukaryota; Fungi
Description: partial contains small subunit ribosomal RNA, internal transcribed spacer 1, and 5.8S ribosomal RNA
Rfam family: Eukaryotic small subunit ribosomal RNA (bases 1-73)
Source: RNAcentral
GCAAACUUGGUCAUUUAGAGGAAGUAAAAGUCGUAACAAGGUUUCCGUAGGUGAACCUGCGGAAGGAUCAUUACAAAUCCAAAACAUACUUUGUUGAACAAAAAGGCUUUCGGCAUGCCCUUUUGCCUUGCACUCGUUGACUUGACUGACUCUAGGUGACACGCUUGGCGUAGCUAGAUGGUGUCAGCUUGACGUUCUUUCCCACCCUUGAGGGGUUUAUGGAGGGUGGGAAAGUUAAGCAGCACUUUGGAUGCGCACCAAACACGACGUCACCUUUAGUAGUUUAGACAAUAGAGCAAAAAAAAGAAUGUAGUUCUCAUUUAAACGAGAAUUGCAUGUGGGCUAUCGUUCUGGAAUGCUUUGACCAGCAGCCUUGGCUGCCGGUUAAACUCAUUCUUGUUGAACUUUAAAUCCAUAUCACAUCUGUAUUUAACAAAAAUAUAGACAACUUUUAACAAUGGAUCUCUAGGCUCUUGCAUCGAUGAAGAACGCAGC